CACUGGCAGCUCAAGUGGUGGCCGUUUUCAUUGGGCCUAAAGCGUUCGUAGCCGGUUUGAUAAGUCUCUGGUGAAAUCCUACAGCUUAACUGUGGGAAUUGCUGGAGAUACUAUCAGACUUGAGGUCGGGAGAGGUUAGAGGAACUCCCAGGGUAGGGGUGAAAUCCUAUAAUCCUGGGAGGACCACCUGUGGCGAAGGCGUCUAACUGGAACGAACCUGACGGUGAGUAACGAAAGCCAGGGGCGCGAACCGGAUUAGAUACCCGUGUAGUCCCUGAGCGGGCU
Molecule: ribosomal RNA, 285 nt
Filed under: uncultured prokaryote
Description: partial 16S ribosomal RNA
Rfam family: Archaeal small subunit ribosomal RNA
Source: RNAcentral